Hyposmocoma kahamanoa is the source of this 237-nucleotide long non-coding RNA. RefSeq lists it as uncharacterized. The record is from RefSeq and is a predicted model, not a curated record. The transcript is spliced from 3 exons. NCBI's taxonomy places the organism in Eukaryota, Metazoa, Arthropoda, Insecta, Lepidoptera, Cosmopterigidae.
GCUUUCUAUCUGCGACAACUUCACCCCACUUCGUUAGUGCUCUUUAACGUGGACGGUGCUGGUCCGAUGCGCCUGGGCAACUGUGAUAAGGACACACGCGGAGCACCUUUGUACAAGGAACACCAACGUAUCAACACCAACUUCUACAAAUCCGCAUACGGCUUUUUUUUCCUGACAGUGUACCAGAUGGCGAAGUAUACGUGCGUAAUAGUGACCUGCGAAGCGUAUAGAUACUCC